This 774-nucleotide ribosomal RNA is filed under the name uncultured Neocallimastigales. RNAcentral's name for it is "partial large subunit ribosomal RNA". It matches the Rfam family "Eukaryotic large subunit ribosomal RNA", at positions 18 to 643 of the family's 3401-position model. Lineage: Eukaryota; Fungi; Neocallimastigomycota; Neocallimastigomycetes; Neocallimastigales. The record is from RNAcentral.
UCAGACGAUGCGUCAUGCAUAUCAAUAAGCGGAGGAAAAGAAACUAACAAGGAUUCCCCUAGUAACGGCGAGUGAAGCGGGAAGAGCUCAAAUUUGAAAUCUUAAAGGGUUUCCCUUUACGAAUUGUAGUUUAAAGAAGUGUUUUCUGUUGAGGUUUUGGUAAAAGUUCUUUGGAAUAGGACAUCAUAGAGGGUAAGAAUCCCGUAUUUGACCUUUACUUUCAACUUUGUGAUACACUUUCAAAGAGUCGGAUUGUUUGGGAAUGCAGUCCAAAAUGGGUGGUAAAUUUCAUCUAAAGCUAAAUAUUGGCGAGAGACCGAUAGCGAACAAGUACCGUGAGGGAAAGAUGAAAAGAACUUUGAAAAGAGAGUUAAACAGUACGUGAAAUUGUCAAAAGGGAAGCGUUUGACACCAGUGUUGUUUUUCUGAAAAUCAAUUAAAGAACUGUUUAUGCUAAGUUGUUUAGACUUUAUCAGCUAUCUGCUUAGUUUUGAGCUUUUCUUUAAUGCACUUUUCAGUUAACAAGUCAACAUCAAUUUCUUUUGCUGUAAAAAAGCUUGAGGAAGGUGGCUUGAGAUUCGUCUUAAGUGUUUAUAGCCUCUUGCCUAUGCAGUCGGAGAGAUUGAGGUCUGCAGCGUAGAUCCUUCGGGGCUAAAUGCAUUUGUGCUAAGUUAUAGCAUUUUAUAGACAACUUGUUGACUAUGAUUUGUCUUGUAGCUUACUCGCUUAUGUUAUUUUACCUACGCUUAGGAUGUUGACACACGCGCGUGCUCG